This 2205-nucleotide long non-coding RNA is filed under the name Helianthus annuus (common sunflower). Lineage: Eukaryota; Viridiplantae; Streptophyta; Magnoliopsida; Asterales; Asteraceae. The record is from RNAcentral.
AUGUUAGGUCCAGAAUUAUGUGUUGGGCUUGGGCUAGGCCAUGUGGGCUAAUGGGGUAGAGGCUCCUAUAAAUAGUCUUGUCUAGUUUAUUUGUAGUAGAGCUCUCCAUUGUAACGAUGUAGCCCCAAAUAGAGAGCCUUGUACCCGAUAAUCCUACGGAUUGUGUGCAAGGUUCUCGAAGAUCGUACCAGACGGUUCUUUGAGACCGUGUGCGAUCUAAUCAGCGACACUACGUUAUUCAAUGAAAAAUCUCUUUUUGUUCUUGUCAGCUUGAUCUUACUUUCCGCAUUCGAUCGAACCGUAGAGUGAUAUCACGGGUUUUUCGGGACUAACAAGUGGUAUCAGAGCCAUUGAAGUCUUUCAAAGGCUCGGUUUUGGUAUCACUCGAAGAACAAGAAGAAGCUUUGCACAAGUGUUGGGGAUGUGUGUUCGUAAAUGGAAAGAUCUCCGGUUCGUAAGAUCUAGAUUUCACUACAGAUCUAAAAAAAAAAUAUAAGGUCUGGUGUAGUCGUCAGAAGAUGACUGGAGACGGAGAAAGAGUGGAGUUGCAGGUUUUCGGCUCGGAGUUCGAAGAAGAUGAUCGGAGUUUAAUGAUGGUUCGAUGAUCGGAGAUGAGAAGUUCGGAGAUGCUGGACCGGAGACGAAGAACGAUGUGAGUCUCGAAUGAAGAUGCUGUAUCUCCGAUGAUGUCGGAUGAAACUUGAAUGAAGAUGUGUUACGAGAUGGUGAGUUUCAGAUGAAGAUUGUGGCAGGAGAAAAAAAAUGAUGAAGAUAUGUUGCAGGUUUUACGGUGUAGUGGUGUGACGGAGAAGGUGAUGGUGGCCGGAGACUUGCAGGUCGACGGUGGUUAUGGAGGUCCGAAGAAGGUGGUGGUGAAGAUGUAGUGAACGGAAAAAGAUGAACGGCGGUGGUUAGAAGCUGAAUCACGGUGGAGAUGUUAACGGAGAUGAAGAAGAUGACUGAGGUGAAUAAAGGUUGGCUCGGAAUGACUCGAAAUGUUUAUGUUGAUGAUGGAACAGAGAUAGUUGAAGAUGAUGAUCUCUGAUGAUUCACGGUGGUCGUCUUCUAAGAUUAACAAACCUGAUGGUAGAUGUCGAUGGAGCUGAAGUCUAUUAUCGGCUGAUGAUGGUCUGAUGAAGUUGAAAACUGAUCUCAGAUGAAUUCUUUGAUGUUGAUGAGCUAAUGAUGAUGAUGGAGUGACAUCGGUAGGUCUAGAAUGUUGAGGAAUAUUCUUAACGGCUGCACAUGUCGUCAAAUCAAGGAAUUAAAAACCCUAACAAUUGUCAACCAUUAGAUGAGGAGAGUGGUCUACGGUCAGACUAGAAGGUAUGGGGGCCGGCUUGGCCCGGCUUGGCCCGGCGCCGGACCCCCACACCGCCCCCCUCUUCCGGCUUCCGUCACAAACGGCGAUCCACAGCCGGGUCCGCCGUGCCUCCUUCUUCCUUUUCCUCUCACAUAUACCUAUACAUAUAUACAUAUAUAUACAUAAAGGGGUUCAUCCCCCACCCCCCUAGGUCCAUCCCCUCCAAGCCACUCCUACGUGGCGCCUAUGUGGCGGCUCAUCCCCUCCAAGCCCAUCCAAACCAUACCUUCUAGUCUCAGAUGAUAAAGGAAUUAUUAUUUUUGUGCCACAUUAUGUGGGGACCAACACUGCUGUGCAGCCGAGAAUUUCAAAUGGAGUAAGUAAUUUGUCGAUGGGAGCCCGACUGCAUUAUUUUAUUAUUUUAUGGUCCAUGAAUAUUAUAAUAUCAUUCGUCAAUUGCAUCAGGGAUGCUUGUUGGAACCCACUUAAUUGGGCAUGUGCACAUGGAUGAUGUGUGUAUGUAAAUGGAGUGUUUAUUUUGUUUAUUCUUGGCCCACUAGAUGAUUGGAAUGCAAUGGCUGACCCAUUUAAAAGGUAUGGAUUUGUUAUAAUGGGUGACAGCUCGGGUUUGUUGGUGGCUCUAUUAUUUUGUGACAGAUAGGGUGGCCAACAUGAUUUAUUUCUUGGGCCACGCAUAAGCUGUUGGAUUGGAGUUGACUAGAUCUAUCGUUUAGACCAACUUCAUAUGGAUUUUUUUUGUGGAUCUCCUUUAGUCCGGGUCAUAAGCUGUUGGACCGGAAGGUUUAUAGAGGAUGGGCUCGUUCACUGGUGGGCCACUAAAAAAGGGAAGACCUAAGAUUGGAGAUCAUCUAAACCGCAAUAAAGAGAGCAUAAAACUAGAG